Long non-coding RNA from Nicotiana attenuata, 789 nucleotides. RefSeq lists it as uncharacterized. The transcript is spliced from 2 exons. Lineage: Eukaryota; Viridiplantae; Streptophyta; Magnoliopsida; Solanales; Solanaceae. The record is from RefSeq and is a predicted model, not a curated record.
GAUAUUUGGAGAUCCCUCACCCUGAGAAAAGACAGAGCAGCGACGCUCCAUUAAAAGAAGGAGACGGAAACCAGACCCUCCGAUCAGCUCCCUUCUUCCUCCACAGACCCCAAGGACCAGCGCCACUCUCCAUCAGCUGGUCCAAAAACGAGGAACACCCCCUUUAUCUUCUUCUUCACCCCAAAGAGGAAAUUUUCUUUUAGCUUUGUCUCAGUCGAUUUCCGGAAAAAAAAGAAUAAUCAUAAAAGAUAAAAAAGAAAAUGAGGAGAACUUUGUUUCUGUUUUGAUUUUUUAACUCAUGGAAUUCGAGUGAGAAUUGUCGGGUUUGAAGUUGGCUGAUAUCCGAGAUUUCACAAGUUGUUUCACUUAGCCGAUACUCUGUGUAACCUCUGGGAUUUUCGAGUUUAGAUUGAGAUAUUAAAGGACUGUUGUUGCUGAAAUCGCUGUUGCUGCUUUGUUAAGCUCGGAUUCAUCUUCGUCUCCAUAUCCUUACUUGGCUCAUUGUGUACUAUUUGUCGGCUAUUCAGGUUUGAUUAAUACUCCUUCACUGUUUAACUAUAAGUUCGGAUGGAAUGUUUGAAGUGAAGCCAAUAUGAACUGGGCUUUUGAUUGGUAAAAAUUAGUAUGUGAAUGGUUGCUAUUUGUAUAUGUUCCCCAAAAUUCGGCUAGCUAAUUUUAUCUACCAUUUGAUCUAAGCAUGUUGUCAGUUCAAUGUUAUAUGCAAAUGGGUUUAUGAUGAUUCAUGUUGACACGCUUCUCUCUGAUUAAUUUUGUUAUUAUUUUUCCAUA